GCGGCCGCCGCACUCAAGCCUGGCCGGGCCGGCCGGGGCCCCACGCUCCCGCGCCCGCGAUCGCCGAGCGCGAGACUGGCCGGGCCGGCGGGCGCGCGAGCUGCUUCCCGGGGGCGGACUGCUCGCGCCUUCCUUCUGGAUCCACCUCCUUCUACCCCACCUCCUUCCCCUCCCCUCCCGGGGGACGCUCCGGGGCGAGGAGUUUUCGGUCUGCAGUCACCCGGCCCCGGGAGCCAAGCUAGAGGAGGAAGACGGGCCGGGACAGGGGUGGUGCUCGCCAGGCCCCCUACAACCUGGGCACCCGCUAGCUCUUUCGUCCCCGCACCCCGACGCUGGGCACACAACUCCGGCUGCUUCCCGAGCGCCGCUCCGGGAGCGAGCACAUCCCUGCAGCUGUCUGCCGGACAGGUCUUGGGGGACGGCGGCCCCUUUUUUGCAGCGGGUGGGGCGAGAAGCUACGGGAUGUGGAGCUUCCAGAUAAGGGAGUGUCCCUGCCCGCCGCACUGCAAGGGCGGCUGAGCGAUUAGGCGCGGCUAGCGGAACCGAGCGGCGGUGGCUGGGCUUUCCCCACGCUCCCGUCACUAGUUAAGCCGCCAGCCCCGUGGCAGCCGCUCCACAGCCCACUCCCGGGCCUGGGCUCUGACCCGAACGGCUGGCUCCGCCCUGUUGCACCUCAUAACAUCUCCCGCUGCAAACCGUCCAAUCCGGUGACGCUACGACAGUAUGCGACCCAAUCAAGGGCUACCGCUCAAGCCUUCUACCCCGCCCCUCAGCCUCCCCUUCCCACUCCAUCUCGGGAGGUGGCUCACCAGCUCUGAUCCCUAGAGGAGCCUCUAGCUCUGGGGAUAGUGCUUGGCACCUCUUCACCACCCCACCCCUGUCCUCUCCCCGUCUUAUGCACACCCCCCCUCCAGGUCUCUGCCCUGCUGAUGCUGUUGAGGGUCCUUUCGAUCCUCAUUGACAGCUUUUGUGUCUGCCACCAUCCUGAGAGAACAGAACAAAAACCAAGAUGCUGUGGAACGUGUUACCUUUUUCAUCUUUGCUACAAUUGCCUUCUAAAGACUCCUCCUCCUUUCCACACCCAUCGCCUAGGGUCCUGUUUCUUGUGGAGGUUUUUGAAAGAGCACUCAGGAGCUGAUAAAGAAGAAACUGAACCUCACUUUAUUGUUCCUUACAGUGAAAGAGGGCAGACAGAAUUUACAACCAAAUCCAGGCAGAAUUUACCACCAGAACCUGACAUUUAGAGGAGAGAAAUUAACUAGAUCUUUUUUUUUUUUUUUUUUUUUUUUUUUGCAGUAGCCAUGAAAUAUGUAAGGUGUGACUGCCCCUAACCAAAUUAACCAAUAGCCAGGGUGAUAAAUAAUAAAUAAAUGAAAACAGAGCCU
Molecule: long non-coding RNA, 1385 nt
Filed under: Mus musculus (house mouse)
Lineage: Eukaryota; Metazoa; Chordata; Mammalia; Rodentia; Muridae
Description: predicted gene 13375 (Gm13375)
Source: RNAcentral